Molecule: long non-coding RNA, 2135 nt
Filed under: Brachypodium distachyon (stiff brome)
Lineage: Eukaryota; Viridiplantae; Streptophyta; Magnoliopsida; Poales; Poaceae
Description: long non-coding RNA (BDIS_LNC002168)
Source: RNAcentral
GCUUGUUCUUCGAUUGCUUGCAGGAACAUAGACCUUCGUGGUCAGGUUGAUCGUGCCCCCGCGUGAUCAAUAACCCUCUGGAGUUGGUGUAUCCAUUGCUAAGGCGCUGCCUCCUAGGCCGUAGUCGGAUCGUCAACGUCACCUCCUACCCAAAUCGAGAGUUAUCAAUCUCAUCGAAAGAUCGGGCCACCCCGUCCCGCAUCACGUGGUAUCAGAGCUUAAGGUUGCUCGGUGAGAUUUUUCCAGUUUAUCCCUAGUUUAGAUCUGUUUUUAACUAUCGUCCAGAAAAAGCCAAACAAAAAUUAGAAUUAGUUACCUUGUUCUAGAACCAAUCUGAGCCUUGCAAUUUUCACUUUAGUAUUUGCAUUGUUGAAUCUUUGCUGCAUUAAUCGUGUUGAGUUGCUGGAUUAGAUUUGAUCGUUUUUCAGAUUUUUUCUACUAGAUCGAACUUGCUUUUGGUUUUCUUGUUCUUCGUGUGACGCAGGUUUCCUUCAUCAAUCUUCCGCCGCCAAACUUCCUGCCACACCACUGCCAUAAUCUCCCGCCGCCACCAUAUCUUCCACCGAGUCUCUCUACGAGUCCUACACCGAGUCCCUCUUUGAGUCCUACACCGAGUCCCUCAUCGAGUCCUACACCGAGUCCCUCUUCGAGUCCUACACCGAGUCCCUCGUCGAGUCCUACACCGUGUCCUACAUCGAGUUCUACAUUGAGUCGGCAAGUUAUAGUUUUCAGCCGCAAGUUCGAGUCCGAGUCCAAUCAAGAGUGCUUUUGGAAAGUUUUCAUAAUAGAUCGAAUUUUGUUUAGAAAUCAAGUUGUUCGGAAAGUUUUCAAAAAAAAAGAAAGAAAAGAAAAAAAAGGAAAGAAAGAAAAAAAAAGGAAAAAAAACGAGAGAAAGAGUUCGAGUCAGUUUCGGACCCGAGUCCGAGUAGAAUUUUAGUUUCGGGUGGGUUUGACCCGUGUUCAGUAAAACGGGCGUAUCUUUUGCGUACCAACUCGGAUUUGGACGUUCUUGGACUUUUUGGAAAGCUCACGACGAGGCGCAUCAGGAAAUAUCCAGGGCGUUGCCCUGCACUUUGACCCUCAAAUUCGGUUUUUAAGGUGGACUUUCGGAGCUUUCAAGUUUCUGCAUCCGUUUUCCGGCGUCACUGCAGCCCGGUGUUUUUCAGUUUUCUCCACCGUCCGACAUCCGUUUUGAGUGAUCUUGCCCUUGCUAGAAAGCUUGUGUCGAUACGCUUCUAACCCAUAUUUUUCCAUAUUUUUCUGAAUUUUUCUUACUGCAGCCUUUGCUGUUCUUCGACAGACCGACGUACAGUUUUCCGGUCCUUCUUUUGUGUGAGUUUCUGGGGUUAAAAAAAAAGAAAAAAAAAGAAGAAAAGAAUAAGAAGCCAAACAGAAGGCCACAAAAAGAAAAAAGAAGAGAAAAAUCCCAGGGAUUUACUUGUUGUGCCAUCUUUUGAUCUUUCUAUCAUAUCUUCUUCAGUAUCUAGGCUUAGAUUAUUUCUGUAAUUCGUUCUUAUCGACUCCAGCAGCUAGGACUAGCAUUAUUGAGCAUAUUUUCAACUUUGCAUUGCUGAUUCGAUUAUUUGCUAUUCUUUGCUACUCACAAAAGCCUCCAAGCUCCACAGAUUCUACACCUAGGUUGGUUUGUUACCGAGGCAUCGAUACAUUUAAUCUUCGGAGGGCUUGGUCACGCCGCUAGCCAUCACCUUCCUAUUUUGCAUGGUAAGAACUUAUAAGAACUUGAUUUUUAGCUUGAGAGUUGAGCGACUUGUAGCCACAUCCUAUUAGUUGAUAGGAACAUAUUCCUGUGUUUUGUUUCUUGUCUUAUACUAACCAUGACAGGACUUACACAAAGGAUGGAAAAUAGGCCUAUGCUAUCAAGUGACCGACAUGAGCGUUUUUCACCACAUCCAUCCUCCUCGUCUCUUGUUGACAUUGGCAAGGAAAAGGUAUAUCACAAUCCUUAUAAUGUCACUAAUUGUUUUGGACCUUUCUUUGAUGGAAAUAAUGAUGCUGAAGCUUAUAUUGAUUGGGAAAUAGCUCUAAUUGAGCAAUUCACAUGCUUCCAUGUACUAGAUAGUCGUAAGGUCCAAAUUGCUAGUAGUAGAUUUCGUUUUGAUGCAUUAUCAUGGUGG